AUGAACGCUGGCGGCGUGCCUAAUACCUGCCAGUCGAGCGAACGGACGAGAAGCUUGCUUUUCUGAUGUUAGCGGCGGACGGGUGAGUAACACGUGGAUAACCUACCUAUAAGACUGGGAUAACUUCGGGAAACCGGAGCUAAUACCGGAUAAUAUUUUGAACCGCAUGGUUCAAAAGUGAAAGACGGUCUUGCUGUCACUUAUAGAUGGAUCCGCGCUGCAUUAGCUAGUUGGUAAGGUAACGGCUUACCAAGGCAACGAUGCAUAGCCGACCUGAGAGGGUGAUCGGCCACACUGGAACUGAGACACGGUCCAGACUCCUACGGGAGGCAGCAGUAGGGAAUCUUCCGCAAUGGGCGAAAGCCUGACGGAGCAACGCCGCGUGAGUGAUGAAGGUCUUCGGAUCGUAAAACUCUGUUAUUAGGGAAGAACAUAUGUGUAAGUAACUGUGCACAUCUUGACGGUACCUAAUCAGAAAGCCACGGCUAACUACGUG
This 496-nucleotide ribosomal RNA is filed under the name uncultured bacterium. RNAcentral's name for it is "partial 16S ribosomal RNA". It matches the Rfam family "Bacterial small subunit ribosomal RNA", at positions 29 to 507 of the family's 1533-position model. The record is from RNAcentral.